RNAcentral lists this ribosomal RNA (324 nucleotides) under uncultured bacterium. RNAcentral's name for it is "partial 16S ribosomal RNA". The record is from RNAcentral.
AUUAGAGUUUGAUCAUGGCUCAGGAUAAGUCGUAACAAGGUAACCGUAAGUCGUAACAAGGUAACCGUAAAGUUUGAUCCUGGCUCAGAUAAGUCGUAACAAGGUAACCGUAGAGUCGCAAAAGGUAGCCGUAAAGUCGUAACAAGGUAGCCGUAGAGUUUGAUCCUGGCUCAGAAGUCGUAACAAGGUAGCCGUAAGUCGUAACAAGGUAGCCGUAAGUCGUAACAAGGUAACCGUAAGUCGUAACGAGGUGACCGUAGAGUUUGAUCAUGGCUCAGGAAAGUCGUAACAAGGUAACCGUAAGUCGUAACAAGGUAACCGUAA